Molecule: non-coding RNA, 96 nt
Organism: Mycena polygramma
Lineage: Eukaryota; Fungi; Basidiomycota; Agaricomycetes; Agaricales; Mycenaceae
Source: the annotation of a GenBank genome assembly
GGCCGUCUAGCUCAGUUGGUUAGAGCGUCGUGCUAAUAUACCGAUCAUACGGUGAUGUAUACGCGAAGGUCUUGGGUUCGACCCCCACGAUGGCCA